ACGGAUAUAGGACAGUAGACUUGCAUUGGUAGAAUAACCACAACGAGAAGUUUGCUAACUGAAUUAUACUAAACAAGAGACACCACAGCAAUAACGGCGGGAUUUUCAAAUUGAAGCAACGUAUGUUGACGUAUGUCAACGCAUCUGUCGUCCACGUCCAAAACAAAAAUCCAACCACGGCCUGGAUCCCGACACACGGAGCACAAACCGAGACAUCCCGUACGACAUUAAAAUGCGUGCGCGACGCAACGAGCCCACUCGACGAACGACGUCACAAUACUCAUAGCUUCCUUCUGAACUCAGCACAAACUAUCGCUUAAAUAUAGAAACACGGCGCAGAACAGGAACACGAGGCGAUCGGGAAAGGAACACGCAGUGCUUUAUACACGAAACAUAUUGUUACUAACAUAAUAGGAUUUGUAUUGCAAUUCAAGAAAUGUAAUUAAGGAAAAAUAAUUAUACAUACAUACUAUAACAAUAAAUAAAUGUUAUUACAAUUAUUACCAAAUCGAGUUUUAUUGGUAUGGAAAUCGUUAUUCUAAAUACAGUAACUAAGCAGAAAUAAUCACAAUAACAAUUUAGGUCCUUGCUUUUUCUACAUAGCUUUACCAACAAUCAAUACACUGCAACAAAUUUUAAUAAGGUCAAACUCAAUCACUAAGAUCUGCUUUCAGCUUUUUGUCCUUGAUAUUUAAUUAUGUAAAGGUGAGUUCAAGCACUGGCACAGAAUUACACAUCAAAUCCCUUCUCCUAGUAACCUUUAUUAUUUGUAAGGAUAGUAUGGUGAACAGGUAUGGUUAUAUUAUUAAUCAUAUUUAUAUGUAUAGCUACAGGUUUUGAAGACUUGAUCAAAAAAAAGGAAUUAACAGUUUAAUAUGGAUUCAAUUUAAAUAAUAGUGCCCUGAUAAAUUAAUGAAAACUAAUGGGUGUUUUGUAACUGGAAAUAAAGUUUUAAAACCCAGCCCACAUUUUGUCGCAUUCCCCCUUUUCUAUAUCAGAAAUAAGAAUAAUAAGAUAGGUAAAUUUGUUUUUGUUGGUACU
Long non-coding RNA from Spodoptera frugiperda (fall armyworm), 1041 nucleotides. RefSeq lists it as uncharacterized. The record is from RefSeq and is a predicted model, not a curated record. The transcript has 3 exons. NCBI's taxonomy places the organism in Eukaryota, Metazoa, Arthropoda, Insecta, Lepidoptera, Noctuidae.